This 465-nucleotide ribosomal RNA is filed under the name uncultured bacterium. Its description in RNAcentral is "bacterial SSU rRNA". It matches the Rfam family "Bacterial small subunit ribosomal RNA", at positions 338 to 795 of the family's 1533-position model. The record is from RNAcentral.
CCUACGGGUCGCACCAGUAGGGAAUCUUCCACAAUGGGCGCAAGCCUGAUGGAGCAACGCCGCGUGUGUAAUGAAGGCUUUCGGGUCGUAAAACACUGUUGUAUGGGAAGAACGGGUUUAAGAGGAAAUGCUUAAACAGUGACGGUACCAUACCAGAAAGGGACGGCUAAAUACGUGCCAGCAGCCGCGGUAAUACGUAUGUCCCGAGCGUUAUCCGGAUUUACUGGGCGUAAACCGAGCGCAGACGGUUGCUUAAGUCUGAAGUGAAAGCCCACAGCUCAACUGUGGAAUGGCUUUGGAAACUGGGCAACUUGAGUGCAGUAGAGGUAAGUGGAACUCCAUGUGUAGCGGUGGAACGCGUAGAUAUAUGGAAGAACACCAGUGGCGAAGGCGGCUUACUGGACUGCAACUGACGUUGAGGCUCGAAAGUGUGGGUAGCAAACAGGAUUAGAUACCCGCGUAGUC